Molecule: long non-coding RNA, 1009 nt
Organism: Zingiber officinale
Lineage: Eukaryota; Viridiplantae; Streptophyta; Magnoliopsida; Zingiberales; Zingiberaceae
Exons: 3
Source: RefSeq, a predicted model, not a curated record
AGCUGCAGCCGGACAAGGUUAAGAGGCAGAUAUCCAUUUGCGAUGGAAAGCUUAAAGUACAAUUUGAAGCGGUGGAGGCUAGGUUUCUGCGUGCAUCAUUUAGUUCAUUCGUGGACCUUUUGAUUCUUACUACACAACUCAUCGAAGAGUAUGGCCACACUCCAAUCUAAUGUCAUUUUGUUAGAAAAAGAGGAUCAUUUGGUAAGUAUUCUAUGUGAGUCUUCAUGUCUGUAUUGUAAUUCUUCAUAACAAUAGGAUUCUAAGAUUUCCUGUGGCUUAAUGUUUACUUUGAAUAAUGUCUUUAGUCAUCACAUCAUGAGUCACAGCACAAUUUUCUGUUAGUGGCAAUGCGACUACAUGUCGGUGACACUCAUUAUCUUCGCCCAAAUCCUCUCCUUUGUUACCUUUGUCAUCGGGGAGAUGUAGUGCCUCAGAAUUUGGGGUUGGAUGCAUUUUUGGCAAGAGGCUUGGAUUGUACUGUUGGCUUCUUUGUGCCCCCACUUUGAUCACUCUUUUGUCGCGGAUCCUUAUCAUGUUGCGACUCUAAAUCCAAGCUUCGGUCAAUAUCGGUAUAGAUGUUAUUGGCAUAACAAAACUACUCUCACCGGUAGGAUUGUCCGCUUCCAUAGCAUCUGGGGGUUUUGAAGCUCAAGUUGCUGCCUCUUCAUUUUCGGUUUUGUGCAAUCCGCUUCCAUAGCAUCUGGGGGUUUUGAAGCUCAAGUCGCUGCCUCUUCAUUUUCGUUUUCGCGUGUGGCUACCUCACUCGACUUACCACUCCGAAGAACUGAAUGACAGUGGGAAUCUAUUCAGAGGUACAAGAUGUUAGUGAAACAUAACGAAAGAUGGUGAUCGAUUAAUAGAUGUUAAUAGAAUUUUACGCGAUUCAUAUCUAGUAAGUCUCUUCUAUGUCAAUCUUCCUUUUGACAAAUGAAGUGUUUUGUUUAAUUUACCUCAACAAGAACGAUAACGACAUACUGAAAGGACAAAACACAGUCAGUUCUCUCUAAUA